GUGGGGAAUUUUGGACAAUGGGCGCAAGCCUGAUCCAGCAAUGCCGCGUGCAGGAAGAAGGCCUUCGGGUUGUAAACUGCUUUUGUACGGAACGAAACGGUCCGGGUUAAUACCCUGGGCUAAUGACGGUACCGUAAGAAUAAGCACCGGCUAACUACGUGCCAGCAGCCGCGGUAAUACGUAGGGUGCAAGCGUUAAUCGGAAUUACUGGGCGUAAAGCGUGCGCAGGCGGUUUUGUAAGACAGUCGUGAAAUCCCCGGGCUCAACCUGGGAAUUGCGCUUGUGACUGCAAGGCUGGAGUGCGGCAGAGGGGGAUGGAAUUCCGCGUGUAGCAGUGAAAUGCGUAGAUAUGCGGAGGAACACCGAUGGCGAAGGCAAUCCCCUGGGCCUGCACUGACGCUCAUGCACGAAAGCGUGGGGAGCAAACAGGAUUAGAUACCCGGGUAGUCC
Molecule: ribosomal RNA, 450 nt
Filed under: uncultured bacterium
Lineage: Bacteria
Description: partial 16S ribosomal RNA
Rfam family: Bacterial small subunit ribosomal RNA
Source: RNAcentral